Molecule: ribosomal RNA, 243 nt
Filed under: uncultured Glomus
Lineage: Eukaryota; Fungi; Glomeromycota; Glomeromycetes; Glomerales; Glomeraceae
Description: partial 18S ribosomal RNA
Rfam family: Eukaryotic small subunit ribosomal RNA
Source: RNAcentral
AGCAGCCGCGGUAAUUCCAGCUCCAAUAGCGUAUAUUAAAGUUGUUGCAGUUAAAAAGCUCGUAGUUGAAUUUCGGGAUCAUCAGGUUGGUCGUGCCUCUGGUAUGUACUUUCCUCGAUGGUUCCUCCUUCUUGAAGAUCCGUAAUGUCGUUAAUUUGGUGUUGCGGGGAAUCAGGACUGUUACUUUGAAAAAAUUAGAGUGUUUAAAGCAAGCUAACGCUUGAAUACAUUAGCAUGGAAUAA